GAUUCGCAAAGAUCAGCUUCAAGAAUGACAGGACUGGAGCCAUUAGCAAGCUCAUCCAGCAGUGAUCAUCCAUCAGAGGUGAGUGUCUCCAUAUCCUGAUGCAGAGGAGUGUGAGGAGCAGCACCACAUUCCUGCCUGCAGAAGCUCCAAGAGGCUUGGGACACGUGCAGAUAAUCUCCUGAAUUCCCUCAUUUUCCUGCUGCAGACUGUCAGCCCAGGGGUGUGUUUGCUCAGCAAUGGAUGAAGCUGGCAGUGACUCCACCAGGCUGAGUAGUUGCAACACUCAGUGGGAGACCAUCUUCUCCUCAACCAGUGCUAGGUGAGAAGCAGUUCGACCUGGUUUGUAAUUUGGAAUAUCUCUCAUGUGGUCAUUGAGAUGAAGAGUUGAUGGACAGUCUCCAGGGAACUGCAACACCAAUUUGGAUUUGGUAUUUCCUACCGAGAGCACAGGCAGUGCCAACACCGCAGAAGAGAACGAGGAGUAAGGGCUCCAGCUGCUCCUCCACUGCUCGUCAGCUUCUGCAGGUCUCACCUCCGUGAGGCAGCCUGGUGGUACCGGUCAGUGUUCAAACUGGUCAAAAUGUGGUGAGAAACAGACAAUUUCAUUCCCCUCGCUCAAAGCUGGGAUAGCCUCCAGAUUAAAUUCCACCUCCUGGUAACUCCUACUGGAUGUAUCUUCUACCAAAGGCCUGUGGAAAGGACCUGAACCAGAGGAGGUUUGGCCCUUCGCAUCUGUGGUGCAGAAUCCAGCGGUGCAUUAUUCUGAUUAGAAGGUCUAAUACAGCAAAUAGAGCAUAUCAAACUGUCUACUGUGUUUCAUCAUCCAUAAUUUCCUGCAGCAACCUACAGCCAUCCAAGCUGCUUCAACCUCCCUCUCACAACCCUGAGAGAUGCUGUCCCAGCAGAGGGGUCCCUGCGUCACCAGCACCUCAGCACUGACAGAGCAGUGUGAUGCCUUCAGAGCAUUCAGCGGGUCCCUCACCUUUUACUGGGCAUCUGAAACUGCCGUGGGGAGAGGCAGGAGGCACCCCGGGGCCUGGCUGUCCCCACAGAGAGUGCGUGACCACCUCUGGGGAAAGAACUUCGGGAGCGCCCAGGCUGCGCAGCAGGAAAACAAUGAGCAGGAGAAAACCUGGAAGCUUUUUGCUGCACUGUUGAAUAUGGAAAUAUAAAAACGUUUGUACCUGGAGCAUCUCUGUCCCUCUUUCCAAUGGGUGACUUCUGAAGCUGGAACUACCCCGCUACCUGCAGCAGCCACUUCUUUCACU
RNAcentral lists this long non-coding RNA (1268 nucleotides) under Anas platyrhynchos (mallard). RNAcentral's name for it is "lncRNA (ENSAPLG00020010567.1)". The record is from RNAcentral. Lineage: Eukaryota; Metazoa; Chordata; Aves; Anseriformes; Anatidae.